GCGCGCUAUAGUGAAGCGGAGGUGCGCCAACGAGGGGAGGUAAAGGGGUAGGUGCGUAGCGUUAUUUGUCUAUGUUUUUAAAACUAUGUCUUACUGUAAACCAAACACUUAGAAUACAGCUAACAUAUAAUGCGAGAGGCUGGAUAUCGACUAACAGCCUAGUUUUAGAGGCUUGUUUCGCAAGUUUAGCCAGCGCGGUCACGUGGUGUGGAAAACAGGAAACUUUUUGUUACUUUGAUUUGAUAACCAGCGACGUAACGUCAGCGCUGUUCUGUAGCGCGAACGGUCUUGUUAGAUUAUGCUAAAUUUAUAUCGCCCUUCAUUUCUAGUAUCCUCUUCGUUUGCGUAACCGAGUCGUAUCACUGUGUUGAUUAAAAGGAAAUGUGAGCUGCUAAAAUUGUCGUUUACGGUUUACUAGUUAUGCUUCCUUUAUCAUACUCACCUGGCGAAUAGUAACAGUGAGUUGUCCAAAAUGAAAUAAGAGCCGAUGAAAAAGGUCAGCCAGUAUAUAUUGUAACUACCCGCAUUACUGAGAGUUCAAGCGGGGAAUUCAUUUGUUUAUAAAUAGUUGCAUUCUGGGAAAAAUGAGUAUAAGGUAAGUGUUCAACCGCUGGGGGGACUUACAGGUCCUCGGACCGAGAGCGUAGUAUUUGGUGCUGUGCCGGUGUUUAUAUGAAUGAUAGUGCUAUUGCUGUGAUGUUUGAUUUCGUGAAUAAAGAUUUUAAUUUAAAAAAAAAAAAAAAAAAAAAGACAGGAACUCGUUAAUGGGAGUAUUUAAGCAUAAAUAAGUUGUUUUGAUUUUGAUACAUGUUUGUUUGCAAAUCCAAAUUCUUAUAUUGAAAGCUUAUAGACAGUGAUACCCCUCGGCUUUGUCGUCGGUAAAUUCUGUGAAAACCUCGGAUGAACUUACUGUUGAUAACUGCUUGUCCUAGGCAGGGUCGUGGUGGUCCGGAGUCUUUCGUUUUUGCUUCUGCAGACAUCUGUCGUUAUUCUGAAGACAUGGCAUGCUUCGAAUUACACGGUCCAUGUCAACGCGCUAUUUCUACACCGCAUGUAAAAUCUGACCUUUACCGUACCUUUCGUCCAAUGUUACUAGAUCCAAGAUGUGUGACCGCCUUCCGUGAGAAUGUCGACUGUGACGACAUGAAAAAUGAUUGUAUAGAUACUAAGGAAACGAAAUCAUGUUAUGGGUUCCCCAACAAUUUCAGAGAGUUUCACAGAACCCGUUUAAAGAAAAGGGCCUCUCCGUCACGUCACAGAAAUGAACCCGGAGCGGUUACUUCUAAGGUAAGAAUGUACUGCUCCACUUCUCAUAAAUGAGCUUUCAUUUUUUUUUUGUUUCUGGAUUUUUAAAUGUCUGGAAAGAGAUACAGGAAAACAGCC
This 1383-nucleotide long non-coding RNA is filed under the name Scleropages formosus (Asian bonytongue). Its description in RNAcentral is "lncRNA (ENSSFOG00015027820.1)". The record is from RNAcentral. Lineage: Eukaryota; Metazoa; Chordata; Actinopteri; Osteoglossiformes; Osteoglossidae.